This is an RNA transcript of Oryza sativa Japonica Group (Japanese rice), 1754 nucleotides long. It is a transcript of the gene named cytochrome P450 734A1-like, with no coding region annotated. The record is from RefSeq and is a predicted model, not a curated record. NCBI's taxonomy places the organism in Eukaryota, Viridiplantae, Streptophyta, Magnoliopsida, Poales, Poaceae.
AUUUAAUCCGAGAGAGUCAGCGGCAGCCUGCAGCAGCUAGAGCAGAGCGAUGGCCGCGCUUCUGGGCAUCCUCCUCGUGGCCUUCCUCGCCGCCGCCGUCCCUUUCGCGCUCCGCCUGCUCCACUCCUUCCUGUGGGUCCCGCGCCGCCUGGAGCGCCGGUUCCGCCGGCAGGGCAUCCGGGGCCCGCCGCGCCGCCCGCUCUCCGGCAACGCCGCCGGCUACCGCGACCUGCUCGCCGCCGCCCAGUCCGCGCCGCUCGCGUCCUUCCAUCACGCCGUCGUGGCCCGCGUCGCGCCGCACUACCGCGAGUGGCCCGAGCGGUACGGCCGCCCGUUCGUGUUCUGGCUCGGGCCCCGCCCGCGGCUGGUGGUCUCCGACCCGGAGGUCGUGAAGGCCGUGCUGACCGACCCCACGGGGACCUUCGAUAAGGCUGGCUCCGGCGGCGGCAACCCGCUCGCCCGGCAGCUUUUUGGCGAGGGUUUGGUGGGGCUCACCGGGGAGAAGUGGGCGCGCCACCGUCGCGUGAUCGCGCCGGCGUUCAACAUGGAGAGGAUCAAGGGUUGGAUUUCAGAAAUAACAGCUAUCACCUCAUCCAUGCUGGAUAAAUGGGAAGUUCAAGAUGAAGCACGCGCUGAGUUUGAGAUCGAUGUACAUAAAGAAUUUCACACUUUGAUUGCAGAUGUCAUUUCCAGUGUGGCAUUUGGAAGUAGCUAUGAGGAAGGAAAGCGCGUUUUCGAAUUGCAGGAGGAACAGCUAAAACUUGCAAUUCUUGCAAUGACGACAGUCUAUAUUCCUGGCUUCAGGUUUGUGCCAACAAAGAAGAACCGACGACGGCAUAUGCUAAACCAGGAAGUCAGGAAUUCCUUGCGCAAAUUGAUUGAGAUCAAUGGAAGGAAGUGUGAGGAUUCGAACAAUCUGCUUGGGAUGAUGUUAUCGGCCAGUAAACUUGGUAGUGAAUUCAGAAUGGGAAUUGAAGAAAUAAUUGAUGAGUGCAAGACAUUUUACUUUACCGGGAAAGAAACAACAGCUAACUUAUUGACAUGGGCAACUCUUCUCCUAGCUUUACAUCAAGAGUGGCAAAACAAAGCUCGCGAUGAAGUCCUUCAAGCUUGUGGCAAGUCUGAGCACCCAAACGCGGAAAACCUGAGUAAUCUCAAAAUUGUAAAUAUGGUGCUAAAAGAAACCCUCAGGUUGUAUCCUCCUGCUAUGUUUCUCAAUAGGAUGGUCAACAGGGAUGUCAAGCUGGGCAAACUCGACAUUCCAGCUGGCACGCAGCUCCAUUUUCCCAUUCUUGACAUUCACCAUGAUGUUAACAUAUGGGGCACCAAUGCAGAUGAGUUUGAUCCAUCAAGGUUUGCAGAGGGCAAGAGCUAUCACCUUGGUGCAUACUUUCCCUUUGGGAUUGGCCCUACUAUCUGUGUCGGCCAGAAUCUUACGAUGGUUGAAGAAAAGGUGGCCCUUGCAAUGAUCCUUCAGCGUUUCGCGCUUGUUGUCUCGCGUCCUAUGUUCAUGCGCCAAUGCAUGGAGUCACACUCCAACCCCAGUACGGUGCUCAAGUUCUUGCCCAUAAGAUUUGAGACUUCGAUGGAUUUGUGUGUGGAUUUCUGGGUCUUUGCAGUAAAUAUGGUGAAUGCAGCAGACGUACAUCGUGUAUUAUAUAUCUUUGUGAACAAUUUUGGAAGGAUGUUUCCAGCUCGUCUGAACUUUCUAUCAAAAGUGGAAUUUGCUGGAGCCAUGGGAGCAUUUUCCAUGU